UACGUAGGGUGCGAGCGUUGUCCGGAAUUAUUGGGCGUAAAGGGCUCGUAGGCGGUUUGUCGCGUCGGGAGUGAAAACCUUGGGCUUAACUCAGGGCUUGCUUUCGAUACGGGCAGACUAGAGGUAUGCAGGGGAGAACGGAAUUCCUGGUGUAGCGGUGAAAUGCGUAGAUAUCUGGAGGAACACCGGUGGCGAAGGCGGCAUCCUGGACCGGUAUUGACGCUGAGGCGCGAAAGCCAGGGGAGCAAACGGG
This 253-nucleotide ribosomal RNA is filed under the name uncultured bacterium. RNAcentral's name for it is "partial 16S ribosomal RNA". It matches the Rfam family "Bacterial small subunit ribosomal RNA", at positions 524 to 776 of the family's 1533-position model. The record is from RNAcentral.